GAUGAACGCUGGCGGCGUGCCUAAUACAUGCAAGUAGAACGCUGAAGGAGGAGCUUGCUCUUCUGGAUGAGUUGCGAACGGGUGAGUAACGCGUAGGUAACCUGCCUGGUAGCGGGGGAUAACUAUUGGAAACGAUAGCUAAUACCGCAUGACAACAGUUAUUGCAUGAUAACUGUUUAAAAGGGGCAACUGCUCCACUACCAGAUGGACCUGCGUUGUAUUAGCUAGUUGGUGAGGUAACGGCUCACCAAGGCGACGAUACAUAGCCGACCUGAGAGGGUGAUCGGCCACACUGGGACUGAGACACGGCCCAGACGCCUACGGGAGGCAGCAGUAGGGAAGCUUCGGCAAUGAGCGGAAGUCUGACCGAGAAACGCCGCGUGAGUGAAGAAGGCUUUCGGAUCGUAAAGCUCUGUUGUAAGAGAAGAACGAGUGUGAGAGUGGAAAGUUCACACUGUGACGGUAUCUUACCAGAAAGGGACGGCUAACUACGUG
RNAcentral lists this ribosomal RNA (495 nucleotides) under uncultured bacterium. RNAcentral's name for it is "partial 16S ribosomal RNA". It matches the Rfam family "Bacterial small subunit ribosomal RNA", at positions 28 to 507 of the family's 1533-position model. The record is from RNAcentral.